This is a long non-coding RNA of Hirundo rustica (Barn swallow), 1004 nucleotides long. RefSeq lists it as uncharacterized. The record is from RefSeq and is a predicted model, not a curated record. The transcript has 3 exons. NCBI's taxonomy places the organism in Eukaryota, Metazoa, Chordata, Aves, Passeriformes, Hirundinidae.
AUGACCAGAGGCAAAGAGCCUCCCUAAAUUCGGCCUCUUCCUAGACCCUGUAUUAGCCAGGUAUGAUCUGUACAGACAGUCUGGCUGUAACAGAGGAAGGCAGUCACAGUUUUGUAGUCAAAAGCUGUGAAAAAAUGUAGCUACUUCUUAAUUGCAGAAGGAGGGAAAAUGUUAUGAUCCUGAUUCAGGACUGCCUUCAUGAUGAGAUGCGUAAUUUAAUUACAUUUUUAUCUGCAAAUACCUCUGCUGACCUUGGGACACAGAGUGCAAACUUCUCCAAAAUUAGGAACUGCCUUUGUUCUUAACCAGGUGCUCUGGGGCCAAACCAAUGGAAACUGUGCGAAGGAAAAGUGUUGAAUUUGGAGUUAUCAAAGGUACAGGAAUGGAAGGAACUUCAUCAAGGGUGCCCAGCCUCUGAGAACAAACUCAAUGGCAGCUCAGAGCGACACCUCCAGCGCAGCAUUCCAGCAGGGUGUGGGAGUCUGCUCCUGCAGAUGUUGUUCCCAUCCCCAGGCAGCUGCGGUCCUUGCCGAAAUCUCACCGAGCCACAACCCGAGAGGCAGAAGAACUGCACAAAAGAAAGGCCAUGUGAUCAGAGGGAAGGUUAUUCUGUCCCAACCCAAAGAACAUGCCCAAGGCUGCGUUCCAUCUCCUCUCCCUCACUUGCUCCCUUCAACUUCCCAGCUUCUUCCUCCCAUUUACCUGCAGUGCCACACAUCCAAAAGCAGAGUCUUCACCUUCAGGAGUUCUUCAGCCCCUGCCACACCUAAGGCUAAAGAGAGGUGGAUUUUCACAGAAUGCAACAGAAGAGUCAGCUUCAAAGACCUUGAUCACUUUCUGUGAACUCAUAACAUACACUAAAAAAUAAAGGCUGCUUGGUUCCGAGAAAAAGCAUCCUCUGGUGUGUACAGCAGCAUGUAAGAGCAGUGUUUCCUGGCCACAAACAGCAGUACCUGCUGCAGCACUGAUUCCAGGGAUGAGCUUUCCUCAUGGAUACGGGGACA